GACGAACGCUGGCGGCGUGCCUAAUACAUGCAAGUAGAACGCACAGUUUAUACCGUAGCUUGCUACACCAUAGACUGUGAGUUGCGAACGGGUGAGUAACGCGUAGGUAACCUGCCUGGUAGCGGGGGAUAACUAUUGGAAACGAUAGCUAAUACCGCAUAAUAUUAAUUAUUGCAUGAUAAUUAAUUGAAAGGUGCAAUUGCACCACUACCAGAUGGACCUGCGUUGUAUUAGCUAGUAGGUGAGGUAACGGCUCACCUAGGCGACGAUACAUAGCCGACCUGAGAGGGUGAUCGGCCACACUGGGACUGAGACACGGCCCAGACUCCUACGGGAGGCAGCAGUAGGGAAUCUUCGGCAAUGGACGAAAGUCUGACCGAGCAACGCCGCGUGAGUGAAGAAGGGUUUCGGAUCGUAAAGAUCUGUUGUAAGAGAAGAACGGGUGUGAGAGUGGAAAGUUCACACUGUGACGGUAUCUGACCAGAAAGGGACGGCUAACUACGUG
RNAcentral lists this ribosomal RNA (505 nucleotides) under uncultured bacterium. RNAcentral describes it as "partial 16S ribosomal RNA". It matches the Rfam family "Bacterial small subunit ribosomal RNA", at positions 28 to 507 of the family's 1533-position model. The record is from RNAcentral.